This 549-nucleotide ribosomal RNA is filed under the name Trichoderma koningiopsis. Its description in RNAcentral is "eukaryotic LSU rRNA". The stretch from base 174 to 327 matches the Rfam family "5.8S ribosomal RNA". Lineage: Eukaryota; Fungi; Ascomycota; Sordariomycetes; Hypocreales; Hypocreaceae. The record is from RNAcentral.
UUUCACUCCAACCCAUGUGACCAUACCAAACUGUUGCCUCGGCGGGGUCACGCCCCGGGUGCGUCGCAGCCCCGGAACCAGGCGCCCGCCGGAGGGACCAACCAAACUCUUUCUGUAGUCCCCUCGCGGACGUUAUUUCUUACAGCUCUGAGCAAAAAUUCAAAAUGAAUCAAAACUUUCAACAACGGAUCUCUUGGUUCUGGCAUCGAUGAAGAACGCAGCGAAAUGCGAUAAGUAAUGUGAAUUGCAGAAUUCAGUGAAUCAUCGAAUCUUUGAACGCACAUUGCGCCCGCCAGUAUUCUGGCGGGCAUGCCUGUCCGAGCGUCAUUUCAACCCUCGAACCCCUCCGGGGGGUCGGCGUUGGGGAUCGGGAACCCCUAAGACGGGAUCCCGGCCCCGAAAUACAGUGGCGGUCUCGCCGCAGCCUCUCCUGCGCAGUAGUUUGCACAACUCGCACCGGGAGCGCGGCGCGUCCACGUCCGUAAAACACCCAACUUCUGAAAUGUUGACCUCGGAUCAGGUAGGAAUACCCGCUGAACUUAAGCAUAU